UGCAAGUCGAGGGGUAUAGUUCUUCGGAACUAGAGACCGGCGCACGGGUGCGUAACGCGUAUGCAAUCUACCUUUUACAGAGGGAUAGCCCAGAGAAAUUUGGAUUAAUACCUCAUAGUAUUAUAGAAUGGCAUCAUUUUAUAAUUAAAGUCACAACGGUAAAAGAUGAGCAUGCGUCCCAUUAGCUAGUUGGUAAGGUAACGGCUUACCAAGGCUACGAUGGGUAGGGGUCCUGAGAGGGAGAUCCCCCACACUGGUACUGAGACACGGACCAGACUCCUACGGGAGGCAGCAGUGAGGAAUAUUGGACAAUGGGCGCAAGCCUGAUCCAGCCAUGCCGCGUGCAGGAUGACGGUCCUAUGGAUUGUAAACUGCUUUUAUACGAGAAGAAACACUCCGACGUGUCGGAGCUUGACGGUAUCGUAAGAAUAAGGAUCGGCUAACUCCGUGCCAGCAGCCGCGGUAAUACGGAGGAUCCAAGCGUUAUCCGGAAUCAUUGGGUUUAAAGGGUCCGUAGGCGGUUUAAUAAGUCAGUGGUGAAAGCCCAUCGCUCAACGGUGGAACGGCCAUUGAUACUGUUAGACUUGAAUUAUUAGGAAGUAACUAGAAUAUGUAGUGUAGCGGUGAAAUGCUUAGAGAUUACAUGGAAUACCAAUUGCGAAGGCGGGUUACUACUAAUGGAUUGACGCUGAUGGACGAAAGCGUGGGUAGCGAACAGGAUUAGAUACCCUGGUAGUCCACGCCGUAAACGAUGGAUACUAGCUGUUGGGAGCAAUCUCAGUGGCUAAGCGAAAGUGAUAAGUAUCCCACCUGGGGAGUACGUUCGCAAGAAUGAAACUCAAAGGAAUUGACGGGGGCCCGCACAAGCGGUGGAGCAUGUGGUUUAAUUCGAUGAUACGCGAGGAACCUUACCAAGGCUUAAAUGUAGAU
Molecule: ribosomal RNA, 930 nt
Filed under: uncultured Flavobacterium sp.
Lineage: Bacteria; Pseudomonadati; Bacteroidota; Flavobacteriia; Flavobacteriales; Flavobacteriaceae
Description: bacterial SSU rRNA
Rfam family: Bacterial small subunit ribosomal RNA
Source: RNAcentral